CCUGAGAAACCCAAAAGAUCGAAUGGGGAGAUUCAUCGUCAGCUCAUUUUGUAUAUGUAUAAAUUAUGAUGCGGGUUACUACUUGUAGUAUUGCCUGUACAUGUUUAUAUAUUUAGUUGCAGAAUGUUGUCGGCGUGCACUUCUCCCCUAGUAGGACGUCGCGACCCGUUGAGUGUCGGUCUACGGCCCAAAUGAAAGUCUUUAAUAUUUAAUAAUAUUAAAAGCAUUUGGUGUUACCUGACCGGCUACUCGGCGGUACUCGUAUGGUAUUAAGCCGCAUUUUUAUUAUGCGUCCAUGCCCGUCGCAAGCGAGGCCAAUUUUUGGUAGUGCGGACCUAGUGCCGUCGCUGGAUUUGGCCAGCUGUUGGUUGUUACGGUGUUCUAGGACUGGCUGAAAUAUAAUAAUACCGGUCGGCGAUGCUACUGCUUUGGGUACUUUCAGG
RNAcentral lists this ribosomal RNA (443 nucleotides) under Rhysipolis sp. RDB-2000. RNAcentral's name for it is "eukaryotic LSU rRNA". The record is from RNAcentral. Lineage: Eukaryota; Metazoa; Arthropoda; Insecta; Hymenoptera; Braconidae.